AUGGCAGUGGGUUACGUUUACAUUUUCUUGCCCAGUGGACAUAAACAGAUGCCUCCACCAUUCAUUUUGCCUUCAGCUUUUGUCUUGCUGCCUGGGGACGUCCCGGACCUCUUGCAGUGGGAGCAGGAUGGCAAGGAGGAAGCUCGUGAGGAGAUAUUUGUGCUUUCAUACCUAAAACUCAAACAUCUCCAGUGGUCUAUAUCAUUACUACCCAAAGCAAGGUUUGCAGACCAGCAGNNNNNNNNNNNNNNNNNNNNNNNNNNNNNNNNNNNNNNNNNNNNNNNNNNNNNNNNNNNNNNNNNNNNNNNNNNNNNNNNNNNNNNNNNNNNNNNNNNNNUUUCUUUGCCUGGGAAGAAGUUUGAGCAGCCUUCAGAACAUGCCAUGGGCAUUCAUUCACACUUCUUUAUCUUUGCUCUGUCAGGUUCCCUAUGGAAGUCCUUUCACCCCUUGGCCCAUGCUAUUAAAGUCUAACAGAAGCCCUGCAACUUGCCUGAAGCUAGAGACGUCAAAAUAUCAAGGCCACACUGUGUCCUCCUUCCUCCGAACUCUAAGAUCACUUGUCUGUACAUGUGAUUUGGGCACUAGCCCUAUAAAUCUUUGCACUGUGGUGGCAACAGGUCUAUAAGUUUACUAAGAACCAACACCAUGGUUUUCUUUUUUAACUUUAAUUUUGAAAUAAUUUUAGACUGACAGAAAAUUUGUCAAAAUCAUAAGAGGAGUGCUCCCUUACACCCUUCACCCAACUUCCCCUAAUUCUAACAUCUUCCUUAACCAGGUACAAUGAUCAAACCUGGGCAAUUAACUUCAGUACAAUACUGCUAAUGAAAUUGCAGACCUUAUUAAGAGAGAUUUCCCCAGUUUUCCCACUCGUGUUCUUUUCCUGUUUGAGGAUCCAAUCUGAGAUCCCACCUCAAUCCAGUUGUCACAUCUCCUUCACCUACUCCAGGCUGGGAACAAUUCUUCUGUCUUUCCUUCUCUCUCUUGUACUUGACACUUUAGAACAUUGCUGAUCACUUAUUUUGUAGAAGGUUCUUCAAUUUGAGUUUGAUGCUUUCUCAAGGCUAAAUAGAGGUUUUGCAUUUUUGGCAAAAAUGGAAGAAGUGAUGUUGUGUUCUUCUCAUUUGUAUCAGGGAACAUGAUUAUCAAUAUUUCUUAUUGCUGGUGAUCUUAGCCCUAAUCACUUAGUGAAGAUGGUGUCUGCUGAGUUUCUCCAUGUAAAUUUGCUGUUUUUCCCUUUGUAAUUAAUAAAUAUCUUGGGUGAGAUAUUUUGAGAUAAUGUAUCUUUUUCUCCUCAACCUUAUGCCCACUAAUGUUAGCAUCCAUUGGUAGAUCUGCCUGCAAAAAUUAUUCCUGUGGCAUACAGCAUGUACAUAUCCAUAAAUAAUUGUGUGAGACAAGUAAGCCCCUAUUUCAACCACUGCAAUAGGGUUUUCUAUUAAUUGAGCCUUCUUUGAAUGUCUUUUUAAUGGGGGCCCAUUAUAACAGGGUUUCUUUAAAAAUAUUUAUUUAUUUAUUUAUUUUUAGAGAGAGAGAGAGAGAGAGCAGGGGGAGGGGCAAAGGGAGAGGGAGAAGAAAUCUUAAGCAGAUUCCCCACUGGGAACCCAAUGUGGGGCUUGAUCUCAUGACCCUGAGAUCAUGCCCUGAGUGGAAAUCAAGAGUUGCUUAACCGACUGAGCCACCCAGGUGCCCUUUAACAGGAUUUUUAAUCUGACAAUGACACAAUCAAAUAAAUAAAACAGUCCUUUCUUCCUUCCUUCCUUUCUUCCUUCCUUCCUUCCUCCAUCCUUUCAUCUAUCCACCCAUCCAAUAUUCCUUUUUUUGUGUAAAAAAAAUUGAAGUACCAAUACUUACAUUUCUCCUAGUUACAUUCUAACUGAUGCCCCCUACUCCCUGUUGUUCUGUUUGAAUUGUUAUAUGAACUUGCUGUUAUGGCCAAACAAAUAAACCAAGUUGGAAACCUUAAUUUCUUUGAGCAGAUGGUUGUCAAAAUCAAUCUGAGAAAAGAGGUGCCAUAUUGUUUGCUGGAAUGUGCUAUCACAGAAAAUGACUGUUGUGGACAUCUAUUGUUUUCGGCUUCUCAGCAUCCCUCAUUCCUUCUUUAGGUCACAGCACCCAUAUCUCCUUCACAGCAUCUGACCUUCCAUGUUCUUAGCCCGUGCAGUUUAGUUAAGUUGGCCUACCAGCUGGCACCAAGCAUGAACACAUGCCCUAGGCUGGGACAGAAUUAUCCAUCCCCCUGGCCAUAGCCAUUGGUCGAGACAUUGGCAUCUGGCUCUAGUUGGUCAGUCAGAAUCUCCUCCAAGGUCCUUG
Molecule: long non-coding RNA, 2310 nt
Organism: Ailuropoda melanoleuca (giant panda)
Lineage: Eukaryota; Metazoa; Chordata; Mammalia; Carnivora; Ursidae
Source: Ensembl